ACUCCUACGGGAGGCAGCAGUAGGGAAUCUUCCACAAUGGACGAAAGUCUGAUGGAGCAACGCCGCGUGAGUGAAGAAGGGUUUCGGCUCGUAAAACUCUGUUGUUAAAAGAAGAACAUAUCUGAGAGUAACUGUUCAGGUAUUGACGGUAUUUAACCAGAAAGCCACGGCUAACUACGUGCCAGCAGCCGCGGUAAUACGUAGGUGGCAAGCGUUGUCCGGAUUUAUUGGGGCGUAAAGCGAGCGCAGGCGGUUUUUAAAGUCUGAUGUGAAAGCCUUCGGCUCAACCGAAGAAGUGCAUCGGAAACUGGGAAACUUGAGUGCAGAAGAGGACAGUGGAACUCCAUGUGUAGCGGUGAAAUGCGUAGAUAUAUGGAAGAACACCAGUGGCGAAGGCGGCUGUCUGGUCUGUAACUGACGCUGAGGCUCGAAAGUAUGGGUAGCAAACAGGAUUAGAUACCCUGGUAGGAUAGCG
Molecule: ribosomal RNA, 475 nt
Filed under: uncultured bacterium
Lineage: Bacteria
Description: bacterial SSU rRNA
Rfam family: Bacterial small subunit ribosomal RNA
Source: RNAcentral